Molecule: non-coding RNA, 22 nt
Filed under: Arabidopsis thaliana (thale cress)
Lineage: Eukaryota; Viridiplantae; Streptophyta; Magnoliopsida; Brassicales; Brassicaceae
Source: RNAcentral
UGAAAUGUUUUUCUACUUUUUC